Molecule: non-coding RNA, 399 nt
Organism: Arachis ipaensis
Lineage: Eukaryota; Viridiplantae; Streptophyta; Magnoliopsida; Fabales; Fabaceae
Source: RefSeq, a predicted model, not a curated record
UCUUCCUAAAUCGCUGUUAAUAUAAACAGAAUAAUAAUAGUUUUUGUUAUGUGAUUGAUAUUUCAGGGAACUCCAUCAAAGGAAGUUGAUUCUGUUAAAGAAAGUUCAAAGCCUGAACGACCAUCUGUGUUGGCCAAGAGAAGUACACAUGCUGCUUCUUUAAAACAUAGUAAAGCAGCUUCUAGUGUUGAUGCUGAAAUUGUGGGUGGAUCCACAAUAAGUUCUCAGGCUAGCUGAAGCAGGAGGUUUCUACUGCUUCAUCAAAAGGCACUACUAUUAAAAUAGGUGAUCGAGUAAAAUUUGUUGGUAACUUCCCUUCUGCUGUCUCAUCAAUACAAAAUCAUCCUUCAAGGUACUUUGUCUGAUGGAAGAAUUAUUCUGAAUACAAUUCAGUCAAUC